GACGAACGCUGGCGGCGUGCUUAACACAUGCAAGUCGAACGGAAAGGCCCUGCUUUUGUGGGGUGCUCGAGUGGCGAACGGGUGAGUAACACGUGAGUAACCUGCCCUUGACUUUGGGAUAACUUCAGGAAACUGGGGCUCAUACCGGAUAGGAGCUCCUGCUGCAUGGUGGGGGUUGGAAAGUUUCGGCGGUUGGGGAUGGACUCGCGGCUUAUCAGCUUGUUGGUGGGGUAGUGGCUUACCAAGGCUUUGACGGGUAGCCGGCCUGAGAGGGUGACCGGCCACAUUGGGACUGAGAUACGGCCCAGACUCCUACGGGAGGCAGCAGUGGGGAAUAUUGCACAAUGGGCGGAAGCCUGAUGCAGCAACUCCGCGUGCGGGAUGACGGCCUUCGGGUUGUAAACCGCUUUCGCCUGUGACGAAGCGUGAGUGACGGUAAUGGGUAAAGAAGCACCGGCUAACUACGUG
RNAcentral lists this ribosomal RNA (468 nucleotides) under uncultured bacterium. RNAcentral's name for it is "partial 16S ribosomal RNA". It matches the Rfam family "Bacterial small subunit ribosomal RNA", at positions 28 to 507 of the family's 1533-position model. The record is from RNAcentral.